GCGUUCACAGGAGUCCCCUGACACCUCCCACUCGGAAGAUAGCUAACGGGGGUCCUGCCAACCCUUCCCAUCCAACUUCCAUCUGAAAAGGAUUUUCUGCUAAAGUUGGGUCCAUGGCCAUCCAGCACCUGUAAGGCCGGCAGGAGCGUCUGCCCUCUACUCAGUUAAAGCCUGAAGUCGUUUCCUUUCGAUGGCCCUUAGGAGGCCCAAAAGAGGGGCGACAGAACAUGAUGUUGACACGGGCUGGGCGCCCCCAGAAGCCCGGGAACAAACGUUUCUACUUUCCAGGUCCACUGGUGUUUGGUGUACCCAUGUGACUAAUUUGUCCAAAGAGAGAUUUCUGUGAAUAGACCAGAAGCCGACCUUUACAGUGUGUUUGGGUGCAGGUGAGGCUGAUUUGAGGCAAAUGUGCUUUACAGAUCUACAAUCUUAUACCUCACUCUGGCUGAAGCACCAGUCCCCAAGUGCAGACUUCUUGCCUGUUUCCCGUGUAACACUGUCCAACUCUGAAGGCUCCUACCCUGACCUUGGC
This 532-nucleotide long non-coding RNA is filed under the name Homo sapiens (human). RNAcentral describes it as "LHRI_LNC1069.3". The record is from RNAcentral. Lineage: Eukaryota; Metazoa; Chordata; Mammalia; Primates; Hominidae.